CUUUUCUUCCUUAAUAUUAUAAUCCUCUCUAAUAAGCAUAUCAUAUAUUCAAUGACAAAAAAGGAUGGAAACCUGUGAAGCAACUGGAAUUUGGAUUUCUUUAAAGCCAAGUAAUGAAAGUGGGUUUCUCAUGAUUAAUGCAACCACACACUGAUGAAAACUACUCUUUUAUAUAUUAUGUAAAAAACAGAUGUAUGCCAACAAAUUAAACCUCCUUUUCCUAUCAUCUCAAUUUUGAUCACUUCACUUGAACGGUAAAUUAUGCUACCUGGCUGCUUCUUCUUCUUCUUCCUUUUCGUCGCACUUCAGGUACCGGAUGUUUCAUUUUCGUCGCAUUGUACGUCUGAAACAGUAUCUAAAACUUUCGAAAAAUGCAUGACACUUCCUACUCAACAAGCCUCAAUCUCGUGGACUUUCCAUCCUCAAAACGCCACCCUCGAUCUCGUCUUCUUUGGUAGCUUCAUAUCUCCUUCAGGCUGGGUUGGGUUCGGGAUUAAUCCGAUUUCUCCUGAAAUGACAGGAACGCGAGCUUUGAUCGCUUUCCCGGACCCCAACUCGGGCCAACUAGUCCUGCUACCUUACAUUCUAGAUCCCACAGUGAAACUCCAACGAACACCGCUCCUUUCCCGCCCCCUUGACAUCCACCUCCUCUCCUCCUCCGCCACCUUAUAUGGUGGUCGUAUGGCCACCAUACACGACGGUGCAACUAUUCAAAUAUAUGCCACUUUCAAACUCGUCCCCAAUAAAACGAAGAUUCAUUAUGUAUGGAACCGCGGAUUAUAUGUUCAAGGUUACUCCCCAACUAUACAUCAAACUGCAAUCAAUGAUCUUUCGUCCAUAACCACAAUUGAUGUCCUGUCUGCAACUACGGCCAAGGCACAAAACAAUAAUAUCAGGACACUAAAAAUCAUUCAUGGCAUCAUAAACGCGAUUUCUUGGGGAAUGUUACUUCCAAUAGGGGCCGUAACUGCGCGAUAUUUAAGACAUAUACAAACUUUAGGCCCUACAUGGUUUUAUGCACAUGCUGGAGUUCAACUUUUUGCAGUUUUCUUAGGAACUGUAGGAUUUUCUAUUGGAAUUAGGCUAGGGGAGUUGUCUCCUGGACGGGUUUACGGGCUUCAUCAGAAACUCGGUUACGCAACAUUCUGCCUCGGGUGGCUUCAAACACUGGCUCUUUUGUUUAGGCCUAAAACAACAAACAAAUUCAGGAAGUAUUGGAAAUCGUACCAUCAUUUUGUCGGGUAUGCUUGUGUAGUAUUGGGUGUCGUUAACUGUUUUCAGGGAUUCCAAGUGAUGGGAGAAAGCAGGUCUUAUGCUAUGUUGGCAUACUGUUUGUGCUUGUCUACUCUCAUUGGCAUUUGCAUUGCACUGGAAGUGAAUUCUUGGGUUAUUUUCUGUAGAAAAUCCAAGGAAGAUAAAUUAAGGAGAGAAGGACGAAUUGGAAUUGGAAGUUCUGAGAAAGGCAGCGGAUCAGGUCAUGGUUGACAGCCUAUUCUUAAAUUUACUUUUUUAGAAAUGAGAACAAGACGGGAUUUACUUUCCAGAAAAAGGUGGAGUUUUGAAAAUCAUAUAUUUGAUAUUGUAAGUAAUUUUGGUCGAUCAUAUAUGUACAGAAUGUGUAAUAUGCAGCACAUAUUCUGUCUUUUAGCUUUCGCAACGUUCACAGCAGUUUUGUUCAAUAGAAUGAAAUUCUGCAAUGCUAGAUGAAGUAAAGUUAUGCAGCUUUGUAUUAAUUUCCAGUGAAAGCCCCAUCGAGCUGGGAGCUUGCCUAACACCAUUUUCUAGGGAAAAUUUAACGUGCGGUCACUAAAGUUUGGAGAAAUCUCAAUUGGGUCAGUAAAUUUUAAUUUGUUUCAAUUGGAUCACUAAAUUUCAGUUCAAAUUCUGUCACCACUGAUCUCCUAAAUUGAUGAAAUUUCUUACUUUUACAAGGGCGUCCUCAAAUGAGAUCUUAAUAAAUUUUUAAAAAUUAUAAAUCUUAUAGAAUUUCUUGAAUUUGAAUAGAUUUUCAUAGAAUCUAUUGACCUCGUCUUUGUAGGGAAACGUAGCCAACAUAUCCCAGCCUUGUUCUUGCACCCUUGGAUAAACUAUCAGUCACACAAACCUUUUUCGAUGGUGGAGGAUGUAACCACCUGCACUUCAACAAUCAAGUAAAUCAAUGUAUAGGUGUACGUGUGUAUGAUGUGCUAAAGACAUGAACCACUAGGUGUUGAGGGGCUGGAUUUAUGAAGGUAUGAGAUUAAUAUAUAUUGAAAUCAAACUUGUAGCUUUGAAGUCUAAAGUUGCAUUACUUUCAUAUGGUAUUAAGUGUGAGCUUUUAUAGUAUAAGAAAUGUGCUAUUGAUAGUUGGUUGGAAAGACGUGGUCUCAUCCUAAUGGUCGAGAAAUCAUCUCCUACAUGUCAAUCCAUACAUUAUAGGUCUGGCCUUAAGAUUGUAAGAAGAUUUUGUCUGAAAGAUCUCUUGGAAAGAUGUGAAGUGGGAGAUUAAUUGCCUCGCACUUCUUCCCUACAGCAUGCGUGGCACUUUGCCUAUGCCAUGAAGGUCGACAUCUACAUGGC
RNAcentral lists this long non-coding RNA (2559 nucleotides) under Olea europaea subsp. europaea. Lineage: Eukaryota; Viridiplantae; Streptophyta; Magnoliopsida; Lamiales; Oleaceae. The record is from RNAcentral.